AUUGAACGCUGGCGGCAGGCCUAACACAUGCAAGUCGAACGGUAACAGGAAGCAGCUUGCUGCUUUGCUGACGAGUGGCGGACGGGUGAGUAAUGUCUGGGAAACUGCCUGAUGGAGGGGGAUAACUACUGGAAACGGUAGCUAAUACCGCAUAACGUCGCAAGACCAAAGAGGGGGACCUUCGGGCCUCUUGCCAUCGGAUGUGCCCAGAUGGGAUUAGCUAGUAGGUGGGGUAACGGCUCACCUAGGCGACGAUCCCUAGCUGGUCUGAGAGGAUGACCAGCCACACUGGAACUGAGACACGGUCCAGACUCCUACGGGAGGCAGCAGUGGGGAAUAUUGCACAAUGGGCGCAAGCCUGAUGCAGCCAUGCCGCGUGUAUGAAGAAGGCCUUCGGGUUGUAAAGUACUUUCAGCGGGGAGGAAGGGAGUAAAGUUAAUACCUUUGCUCAUUGACGUUACCCGCGGAAGAAGCACCGGCUAACUCCGUG
Molecule: ribosomal RNA, 490 nt
Filed under: uncultured bacterium
Lineage: Bacteria
Description: partial 16S ribosomal RNA
Rfam family: Bacterial small subunit ribosomal RNA
Source: RNAcentral